Molecule: ribosomal RNA, 2783 nt
Filed under: human gut metagenome
Description: bacterial LSU rRNA
Rfam family: Bacterial large subunit ribosomal RNA
Source: RNAcentral
AGGGCGUACGGCGAAUGCCUUGCCACUCGAAACUGAAGAAGGACGCGCCAAACUGCGAAAAGCUCCGUGAAGCUGUAAGGAAGCGAAGAAGCGGAGGUGUCCGAAUGGGGGAACCCGGCAGCAGACAUGAGCUGUCAUCUGCAGGUGAAUACAUGGCCUGCAAGAGAGGUACCCGGCGAACUGAAACAUCUAAGUAGCCGGAGGAAAAGAAAACAACAGUGAUUCCCUGAGUAGCGGCGAGCGAAAGGGGAGAAGCCCAAACCGGUUGAAGGACCGGGGUUGAAGGACCAUGACAUGGCAAGAACGAGGAUAGGAGAACGGGAUCGAAAGCCCGGCCGAAGAAGGUGAAAGCCCUGUAACCGAAAUCCAAGGGAAGCCUAAUGGGAUCCUGAGUACGGCGAGACACGAGAAAUCUUGUCGGAAGCAGGCGGGACCAUCCGCCAAGGCUAAAUAUAAACGAGUGAGCGAUAGUGAACCAGUACCGUGAGGGAAAGGUGAAAAGAACCGCGGGAGCGGAGUGAAAGAGAACCUGAAACCGUAUGCCUACAAGAAGUCAGAGCCCGUUAAGGGGUGAUGGCGUGCCUUUUGUAGAAUGAACCGGCGAGUUGCGACAGACUGCGAGGUUAAGGAGGAAAGACCGGAGCCGAAGCGAAAGCGAGUCUUAAGAGGGCGAAAGUAGGAUGUUGCAGACCCGAAACCGGGUGAUCUAGCCAUGAGCAGGUUGAAGUUGAGGUGAAACUCAAUGGAGGACCGAACCGACUACCGUUGAAAAGUUAGCGGAUGACUUGUGGCUAGGGGAGAAAUUCCAAUCGAACCCGGAGAUAGCUGGUUCUCCCCGAAAUAGCUUUAGGGCUAGCGUCGGAAAGAACCUUAGUGAAGGUAGAGCACUGAAUGUGUGAUGGCCCCAUCCCGGGGUACUGAAUACAAUCAAACUGCGAAUGUCAUUAAGGAUGUCCGGCAGUCAGACUGUGAGUGAUAAGGUCCAUGGUCAAGAGGGAAACAGCCCAGACCGCCAGUUAAGGUCCCAAAAUACAGGCUAAGUGGAAAAGGAUGUGGGGAUGCCCAGACAACUAGGAGGUUGGCUCAGAAGCAGCCAUCCUUUAAAGAGUGCGUAACAGCUCACUAGUCGAGUGACCCUGCGCCGAAAAUGUACCGGGGCUAAGCCUGAUACCGAAACUGCGGAUUGUAGGAAACUAUAGUGGUAGGGGAGCGUUGUAUACGAGCAGAAGCCGUACCGUGAGGAGCGGUGGAUUGUAUAGAAGUGAGAAUGCCGGUGUGAGUAGCGAGAUGUAGGUGAGAAUCCUACACACCGAAAGCCCAAGGAUUCCAGGGGAAGGUUCGUCCGCCCUGGGUAAGUCGGGACCUAACGCGAGGCCGAAAGGCGUAGUGGAUGGAAAGCAGGCGAAAGAUUCCUGCACCCGUAUAUGGAGCGAAGGAGUGACGGAGACGGAUAGUGUGACCCUCUUAAUGGAUUGAGGGCGAAGCGAAGCGGCUGGUUACCAGGCAAAUCCGGUAACCUUAAGGCUAGAGCGUGACAGGUAAGCGAAAUCUUAGGAAAGUAGCGAAGCACAUGAUGACGGCUUCCAGGAAAAGCUUCUGGCAAUGCAUAUGCGGCCCGUACCAAAACCGACACAGGUGGGCAGGGAGAGAAUCCCGAGGUGAGCGAGAGAACUGUUGCCAAGGAACUCGGCAAAAUGACUCCGUAAGUUAGCGAGAAGGAGUGCUUAAGCAAUUAAGCCGCAGUGAAGAGGCCCAAGCGACUGUUUAACUAAAACACAGCUCUCUGCGAAGUCGCAAGACGAAGUAUAGGGGGUGACACCUGCCCGGUGCUGGAAGGUUAAGAGGAUCUGUUAAGAGCGAUCUGAAGCAGUGAUCCGAAGCCCCAGUGAACGGCGGCCGUAACUAUAACGGUCCUAAGGUAGCGAAAUUCCUUGUCAGGUAAGUUCUGACCCGCACGAAAGGUGUAACGAUUUGGGCGCUGUCUCGGCAGCAGACUCGGUGAAAUCUUAGUACCUGUGAAAAUGCAGGUUACCCGCAACUAGACGGAAAGACCCCAUGGAGCUUUACUGCAGCCUGAUAUUGAAUUCUGGUCAUACAUGUACAGGAUAGGUGGGAGACAAAGAGACGUGCACGCCAGUGUACGAGGAGUCGACGUUGGGAUACCACUCUUGUGUGACCGGGGUUCUAACCUGGUAUCGAGAACAGGUACGGGGAGAGUGUCAGGUGGGCAGUUUGACUGGGGCGGUCGCCUCCCAAAGAGUAACGGAGGCGCCCAAAGGUACGCUCAGAUUGGAUGGAAACCAAUCGACGAGUGCAAUUGCAGAAGCGUGCUUGACUGUGAGACAGACAAGUCGAACAGGGACGAAAGUCGGGAAUAGUGAUCCGGCGGUGCCGAAUGGAAGGGCCGUCGCUCAACGGAUAAAAGCUACCCUGGGGAUAACAGGCUGAUCUCGCCCAAGAGUUCACAUCGACGGCGAGGUUUGGCACCUCGAUGUCGGCUCAUCGCAUCCUGGAGCUGGAUUCGGUUCCAAGGGUUGGGCUGUCCGCCCAUUAAAGCGGUACGCGAGCUGGGUUCAGAACGUCGUGAGACAGUUCGGUCCCUAUCUGUUGUGGGCGAAGGAGAUCUGCGGAGAGCUGUCCUCAGUACGAGAGGACCGGGAUGGACCUACCGCUGGUGCACCGGUUGUUCCGCCAGGGGCAUAGCCGGGUAGCUAAGUAGGGAAAGGAUAAGCGCUGAAAGCAUCUAAGCACGAAGCCUACUCCAAGAUGAGAUCUCCCAUUCG